RNAcentral lists this small RNA (707 nucleotides) under Pongo abelii (Sumatran orangutan). RNAcentral's name for it is "retained intron". The record is from RNAcentral. Lineage: Eukaryota; Metazoa; Chordata; Mammalia; Primates; Hominidae.
GGAAGUGGAGGAAAGAUGGAGGUGUGGGGACAGGAGAUGGGACCAUCAGCACGUGCCCAUCGACAUCCAGACCAGCAAGCUGCUCGAUUGGCUGGUGGACAGAAGGCACUGCAGCCUGAAAUGGCAGAGUCUGGUGCUGACGAUCCGCGAGAAGAUCAAUGCUGCCAUCCAGGAUAUGCCAGAGAGCGAAGAGAUCGCCCAGCUGCUGUCUGGGUCCUACAUUCACUACUUUCACUGCCUAAGAAUCCUGGACCUUCUCAAAGGCACAGAGGCCUCCACGAAAAAUAUUUUUGGCCGAUACUCUUCACAGCGGAUGAAGGAUUGGCAGGAGAUUAUAGCCCUGUAUGAGAAGGACAACACCUACUUAGGUAAAGUGGCCUGGCCUGGGAGCCCUGGUAUCCAUGGGGAAGCCCACUCUCAGAGUUCUGAGAUACCAGGCUUAUAGGAGGCACAGUCUGUGAGUGGGAAGAGACUGGAGUAUAGAUGUUGCCUGUUUGUAGGUGGUAGAAUCAAUUGUUUUUGAUGGAGUUGAUUUUCCCUGGGUGGAGUGCUGGGGGAAGGAGGAGGUCCAGGCCGGUAGUGGGCAUUCACCAUGCCUCAGCGAGCAGGUGUGUGUGGGUCCUCCACCACUCACCUGUUGCUUAGCGGGAGUGUGCUGCCCCCACCCCUACGCCCGCACCCCCAUUCUGCAAGGCAGAAGAGGCACG